RNAcentral lists this non-coding RNA (198 nucleotides) under Sorangium cellulosum So ce56. Lineage: Bacteria; Pseudomonadati; Myxococcota; Polyangiales; Polyangiaceae. The record is from RNAcentral.
GCCGUGCUGGUGCCCGGGCGUUCGCCUGGGCCGAAGAGGGAACCCGGUGAAACUCCGGGGCUGCCCCGCAGCGGUAAGCGAGAACGACCUCCACCCCAUGCACUGGCCCGCCGAGGGCUGGGAAGCGGUGGACAGUAGGAAUCCGGUCAGACCGGAGCGCUCGCGAGCCCGAAGACCUGCCAGCGCCCGGCGGCGGGA